GCUCGGGUGGCGGAACUGGUAGACGCGCUAGACUAAGGAUCUAGUCCACUCACGUGGGUGCAGGUUCGAUUCCUGUUCCGAGCA
Molecule: non-coding RNA, 84 nt
Organism: Verrucomicrobiaceae bacterium TMED76
Lineage: Bacteria; Pseudomonadati; Verrucomicrobiota; Verrucomicrobiia; Verrucomicrobiales; Verrucomicrobiaceae
Source: Rfam